UACGUAGGGGGCGAGCGUUGUCCGGAAUCAUUGGGCGUAAAGAGCUCGUAGGCGGUUCAGUAAGUCAGGUGUGAAAGCUCCGAGCUCAACUCGGAGAGGCCACCUGAUACUGCUGUGACUAGAAUCCAGUAGGGGAGUGUGGAACUCCUGGUGUAGCGUUGAAAUGCGCAGAUAUCAGGAAGAACACCAGCGGCGAAGGCUGCACUCUGGGCUGGAAUUUACGCUGAGGAGUGAAAGUGUGGGUAGCAAACAGG
This 254-nucleotide ribosomal RNA is filed under the name uncultured bacterium. Its description in RNAcentral is "partial 16S ribosomal RNA". It matches the Rfam family "Bacterial small subunit ribosomal RNA", at positions 524 to 776 of the family's 1533-position model. The record is from RNAcentral.